GUCAAAAUGUCUCACGUGCCA
Molecule: non-coding RNA, 21 nt
Filed under: Rattus norvegicus (Norway rat)
Lineage: Eukaryota; Metazoa; Chordata; Mammalia; Rodentia; Muridae
Source: RNAcentral